Mytilus californianus (California mussel) is the source of this 1217-nucleotide long non-coding RNA. RefSeq lists it as uncharacterized. Lineage: Eukaryota; Metazoa; Mollusca; Bivalvia; Mytilida; Mytilidae. The transcript is spliced from 3 exons. The record is from RefSeq and is a predicted model, not a curated record.
UAUUUUUAGCUCACCUGGCCCGAAGGGCCAAGUGAGCAUUUCUCAUCACUUGGCGUCCGUCGUCCGGCGUCGUCCGUCGUCGUCCGUCGUCGGCGUUAACUUUUUACAUUUUGAACUUCUUCUAGAGAACCACUGAAUGGAAUGAAACCAAACAUGGCAUGAAUGUUCCUUAUGAGGUGCUGACCAAGUGUUGUUACUUUGUAGCCGAUCCAUCAUCCAAGAUGGCCGCCAGCGGGGGACUUAGUUUAACAUAGGACCCUAUGGGAAAUGCAUACAAAUGACUUCUUUUAGAGAACCACUGAAUGGAAUGAAACCAAACAUGGCAGGAAUGUUCCUUAUGAGGUGCUCACCAAGUGUUGUUACUUUGUAGCCGAUCCAUCAUCCAAGAUGGCCGCCAGCGGGGGACUUAGUUUAACAUAGGACCCUAUGGGAAAUGCAUACAAAUGACUUCUUUUAGAGAACCACUGAAUGGAAUAAAACCAAACAUGGCAUGAAUGUUCCUUAUGAGGUGCUGACCAAGUGUUGUUACUUUGCAGUAGGUCCAUCAUCCAAGAUGGCCGACAGCAGGGGACUUAGUUUAACAAAGGACCUAUGGGAAAUACAUACAAAUGUCUUCUUUUAGAGAACCACUGAAUGGAAUGAAACCAAACAUGGCAUGAAUCUUCCUUAUGAGAUGCUGACCAAGUGUUGUUACUUUGUAGCCGAUCCAUCAUCCAAGAUGGCCGCCAGCGGGGGACUUAGUUUAACAUAGGACCCUAUGGGAAAUACAUACAAUUGUCUUCUUUUAGAGAACCACUGAAUGGAAUUGAACCAAACAUGGCAUGAAUGUUCCUUAUGAGUUGCAGACCAAGUGUUGUUACUUUGCAGUCGAUCCAUCAUCCAAGAUGGCCGCUAGGGGGGGGGGGCUUAGUUUAACAUAGGACCCUAUUGGAAAUACAUACAAAUGUCUUCUUUUGGAGUACCACUGAAUGGAAUGAAACCAAACAUGGCAUGAAUGUUCCUUCUGAAGUGCUGACCAAGUGUUGCUACUUUGUUGCCGAUUUACUGUUCAAGAUGGCCACCAGGAUAUUUUAUUGAAUAACGGGACCAAUAUUAAUCAAAAUUUGGCCUCAAUCAUUAUUUGGGUAUCUGUUAUGAUUUUUAUCUAUCUUUACAUGAUUUCUAAAACCAAAGUAGAGUCAGGUGAGCGACACAGGCUCUUGAGAGCCUCUAGUUUU